This 300-nucleotide unclassified non-coding RNA is filed under the name uncultured Psathyrella. RNAcentral describes it as "sequence contains ITS2". The stretch from base 1 to 52 matches the Rfam family "5.8S ribosomal RNA", at positions 103 to 154 of the family's 154-position model. Lineage: Eukaryota; Fungi; Basidiomycota; Agaricomycetes; Agaricales; Psathyrellaceae. The record is from RNAcentral.
AACGCACCUUGCGCUCCUUGGUAUUCCGAGGAGCAUGCCUGUUUGAGUGUCAUUAAAUUCUCAACCUCACCAGUUUUGUAACGAGACCGGUGAAGGCUUGGAUGUGGGGGUUUUGCAGGCUGCCUCAGUGCUGGUCUGCUCCCCUGAAAUGCAUUAGCGAGCUCAUAUUGAGCUUCCGUCUAUUGGUGUGAUAAUUAUCUACGCCGUGGAUUGGACUCAUGCUUGCUUCUAACCGUCCGCAAGGACAAUUUACUUGACCAAUUUGACCUCAAAUCAGGUAGGACUACCCGCUGAACUUAA